UAGGGCUUGAACUGGAAAGAGAAGAGGGAAUGGGAAUAUUCACGUUUUUUUUUGGAGAAAUGGGAGAGGGAAUUUCAGACUUGGCAUUUUUUUAAUUUUCAGUUAAGUCGUUUUUUUUAUUUUCAUUUCCACGUGGCGUCCGGCGAGUCCACGUAGACAAUCCGGCGUCCACGUCAUCUCUUCAGUUGGGGAUUUCCGGUGCCAUGUGCAAUUCCAGAAAGAUAUCAAAGUUUAUGUAUUGUGGGGCUGAAUUUAAAGAUCAUGUGCAAUUCCAGAAAUUUGUGAAAGUU
This 290-nucleotide long non-coding RNA is filed under the name Salvia miltiorrhiza (redroot sage). RNAcentral describes it as "long non-coding RNA (SMIL_LNC011949)". Lineage: Eukaryota; Viridiplantae; Streptophyta; Magnoliopsida; Lamiales; Lamiaceae. The record is from RNAcentral.